GACGAACGCUGGCGGCGUGCUUAACACAUGCAAGUCGAACGGAAAGGCCCUGCUUUUGUGGGGUGCUCGAGUGGCGAACGGGUGAGUAACACGUGAGUAACCUGCCCUUGACUUGGGGAUAACUUCAGGAAACUGGGGCUAAUACCCAAUAGGAGCACCUGCUGCAUGGUGGGGGUUGGAAAGUUUCGGCGGUUGGGGAUGGACUCGCGGCUUUUCAGCUUGUUGGUGGGGUAGUGGCUUACCAAGGCUUUGACGGGUAGCCGGCCUGAGAGGGUGACCGGCCACAUUGGGACUGAGGUACGGCCCAGAGUCCUACGGUAGGCAGCAGUGGGAAAUAUUGCACAAUGGGCGGAAGCCUGAUGCAGAAACGCCGCGUGUGGGAUGACGGCCUUCGGGUUGUAAACCGCUUUCGCCUGUGACGAAGCGUGAGUGACGGUAAUGGGUAAAGAAGCACCGGCUAACUACGUG
This 468-nucleotide ribosomal RNA is filed under the name uncultured bacterium. RNAcentral's name for it is "partial 16S ribosomal RNA". It matches the Rfam family "Bacterial small subunit ribosomal RNA", at positions 28 to 507 of the family's 1533-position model. The record is from RNAcentral.